Molecule: ribosomal RNA, 717 nt
Filed under: uncultured ciliate
Lineage: Eukaryota; Ciliophora
Description: bacterial SSU rRNA
Rfam family: Eukaryotic small subunit ribosomal RNA
Source: RNAcentral
ACCUGGUUGAUCCUGCCAGUAAUAUAUGCUUGUCUCAAAGAUUAAUCCAUGCAUGUCUAAGUAUAAAUAGUAUACCUUAAAACUGCAAAUGGCUCAUUAAAACAGUUACAGUUUAUUUGAUAAUCAAGCGCUACAUGGAUAACCGUGGUAAUCCUAGAGCUAAUACAUGCUGAUAGCCCGGCUUCACGUCGCGGUUGUAUUUAUUAGAUAUUAAACCAAUAUGUUAAUAGCAUUUUGAAGGAAUUACAGUAACUGAUCGAAUCCUUAUUCGUUAAGGAUAAAUCAUUCAAGUUUCUGCCCUAUCAGCUUUCGAUGGUAGUGUAUUGGACUACCAUGGCGGUUACGGGUAACGGAGAAUUAGUGUUCGAUUCCGGAGAGGGAGCCUGAGAAACGGCUACCACAUCUAAGGAAGGCAGCAGGAGCGUAAAUUACCCAAUGUCGACUCGAUGAGCGUAGUGACAAUACAUAACAAAGAGGGGAUUUAUUAUCUUACUCUAUUGCAAUGAGGCAUGUUUAAUAACCUGUUCGAGCAACCAGUGAAGGGCAAGUCUGGUGCCAGCAGCCGCGGUAAUUCCAGCUUCACGAGUGUAUAUUUAAGUUGUUGCAGUUAAAAAGCUCGUAGUUGAACUUCUGUUCGUCCAGGAGGUGUGCAAACAUCACCUGGGUGAGCAUCCGCCUGAAAAAUCAUUUGGAUCUUCACUGAUUCAAUGAUGGAUC